Non-coding RNA from Triticum aestivum (bread wheat), 126 nucleotides. The record is from Rfam. Lineage: Eukaryota; Viridiplantae; Streptophyta; Magnoliopsida; Poales; Poaceae.
AUUGUACUCCUUCCGCCCGAAAAAACUUGUCCCAAGCUUGUCCCUCAAAUGGAUGUAUCUAGCACUAAAUUGGUGCUAGAUACAUCCAUUUGAGGGACAAACUUUUCCGGACGAAGGGAGUACUAC